UUCCGGUUGAUCCUGCCGGACCCGACUGCUAUCGGAUUGAGAUUUAGCCAUGCGAGUCGAACGUCCCCCUGUUGCGGGGGGCGUGGCGUACGGCUCAGUAACACGUAGUCAACCUGCCCUGGAGACAAGGACAACCCCGGGAAACUGGGAUUAAUCCUUGAUAGGUCAUCUCAUCUGGAAGGAGAGAUGGCUUAAAGGGGUACGCGGGCUUCUUCUGCGUAUUCGCUCCAGGAUGGGACUGCGUCCGAUCAGGCUGUUGGCGGGGUAAUGGCCCACCAAACCUGUAACCGGUACGGGCCUUGAGAGAGGUGGCCCGGAGAUGGACACUGAGAGAAGGGUCCAGGUCCUACGGGGCGCAGCAGGCGCGAAACCUUCGCAAUGCGCGAAAGCGUGACGAGGUUAAUCCGAGUGACUCCCGCUGAGGGGGUCUUUUGUCAGCUGUAAAUAGGCAGGCGAAUAAGGGGAGGGCAAGCCUGGUGUCAGCCGCCGCGGUAAUACCAGCUCCUCGAGUGGUCGGGGCGAUUAUUGGGCCUAAAGCAUCCGUAGCCGGUUCCGUAGGUCCUCUGUUAAAUCCAACCGCUCAACGGUUGACCUGCAGAGGAUACCGCGGGACUAGGAGGCGGGAGAGGCGGACGGUAUUCCGCGUGUAGGGGUAAAAUCCUUUGAUCCGCGGAGGACCACCAGUGGCGAAAGCGGUCCGCCAGAACGCGCUCGACGGUGAGGGAUGAAAGCUGGGGGAGCGAACCGGAUUAGAUACCCGGGUAGUCCCAGCCGUAAACGAUGCUAGCUAGAUGAUUC
This 798-nucleotide ribosomal RNA is filed under the name uncultured archaeon. RNAcentral describes it as "bacterial SSU rRNA". It matches the Rfam family "Archaeal small subunit ribosomal RNA", at positions 1 to 777 of the family's 1478-position model. The record is from RNAcentral.